GACGAACGCUGGCGGCGUGCCUAAUACAUGCAAGUCGAGCGAACCGAUAAGAAGCUUGCUUUUUGUUGGUUAGCGGCGGACGGGUGAGUAACACGUGGGUAACCUGCCUGUAAGACCGGGAUAACUCCGGGAAACCGGUGCUAAUACCGGAUAGAUUAUCUUUCCGCCUGGAGAGAUAAGGAAAGAUGGCUAUUGCCAUCACUUACAGAUGGGCCCGCGGCGCAUUAGCUAGUUGGUGAGGUAACGGCUCACCAAGGCGACGAUGCGUAGCCGACCUGAGAGGAUGAUCGGCCACACUGGGACUGAGACACGGCCCAGACUCCUACGGGAGGCAGCAGUAGGGAAUCUUCCGCAAUGGACGAAAGUCUGACGGAGCAACGCCGCGUGAGCGAAGAAGGUCUUCGGAUCGUAAAGCUCUGUUGUUAGGGAAGAACAAGUAUCGGAGGAAAUGCCGGUACCUUGACGGUACCUGACGAGAAAGCCACGGCUAACUACGUGCCAGCAGCCGCGGUAAUACGUAGGUGGCAAGCGUUGU
Molecule: ribosomal RNA, 535 nt
Filed under: uncultured bacterium
Lineage: Bacteria
Description: bacterial SSU rRNA
Rfam family: Bacterial small subunit ribosomal RNA
Source: RNAcentral